GAUGAACGCUGGCGGCGUGCCUAAUACAUGCAAGUCGAGCGAACAGACGAGGAGCUUACUCCUCUGACGUUAGCGGCGGACGGGUGAGUAACACGUGGAUAACCUACCUAUAAGACUGGGAUAACUUCGGGAAACCGGAGCUAAUACCGGAUAACAUGUUGAACCGCAUGGUUCAACAGUGAAAGACGGUCUUGCUGUCACUUAUAGAUGGAUCCGCGUCGCAUUAGCUAGUUGGUAAGGUAACGGCUUACCAAGGCAACGAUGCGUAGCCGACCUGAGAGGGUGAUCGGCCACACUGGAACUGAGACACGGUCCAGACUCCUACGAGAGGCAGCAGUAGGGAAUCUUCCGCAAUGCGCGAAAGCCUGACGUAGCAACGCCGCGUGAGUGAAGAAGGUCUUCGGAUCGUAAAACUCUGUUAUUAGGGAGGAACAAAUGUGUAAGUAACUAUGCACGUCUUGACGGUACCUAAUCAGAAAGCCACGGCUAACUACGUG
This 497-nucleotide ribosomal RNA is filed under the name uncultured bacterium. RNAcentral describes it as "partial 16S ribosomal RNA". It matches the Rfam family "Bacterial small subunit ribosomal RNA", at positions 28 to 507 of the family's 1533-position model. The record is from RNAcentral.